RNAcentral lists this ribosomal RNA (253 nucleotides) under uncultured bacterium. Its description in RNAcentral is "partial 16S ribosomal RNA". It matches the Rfam family "Bacterial small subunit ribosomal RNA", at positions 524 to 776 of the family's 1533-position model. The record is from RNAcentral.
UACGUAGGGGGCUAGCGUUGUCCGGAAUCAUUGGGCGUAAAGAGCGUGUAGGCGGCCCGGUAAGUCCGCUGUGAAAGUCGGGGGCUCAACCCUCGAAUGCCGGUGGAUACUGUCGGGCUAGAGUGCGGAAGAGGCGAGCGGAAUUCCUGGUGUAGCGGUGAAAUGCGCAGAUAUCAGGAGGAACACCAAUUGCGAAGGCAGCUCGGUGGGACGUAACUGACGCUGAGACGCGAAAGCGUGGGGAGCAAACAGG